This 451-nucleotide long non-coding RNA is filed under the name Phoenix dactylifera (date palm). RNAcentral's name for it is "long non-coding RNA (PDAC_LNC018309)". Lineage: Eukaryota; Viridiplantae; Streptophyta; Magnoliopsida; Arecales; Arecaceae. The record is from RNAcentral.
GUCUGAUUUGAAUUGUAGUUGGGCUCCACAAAUUUCAGCAUGUCUAAGUAUCAAAUUAUUUUAUAUGGACAGCUGUUUCCAUCUCAUGAUCCUCUCCUUCCCUGCAUUCCAUGCUCUUCUCUUCUCUGCUAUCGACUCUUCGCCACUUAGGGACUCUAGAUCUCCCAUGCUGAAAUGUGUCUCUUUCACUAUCCUGUUCUCUUCUCCACAUCAAAGGGAUUUGCUUUUCUAUUGGUUGUUUCUACUUGCAAAUAAGGUUGCUGGAGCAUUAGAGAAGUAAUUUAAAUCAUUCACCACAGGAGUAUCUCAAUCUACUCGGGGUUCCAAAUAUCUAUCACGAACUGAAUAUUUUGUAGGUGUAAAUAGGUUUGCCACAUUCUUUUAGCUUUUUUUUUAUUGGAACCAUACUAUGCAUGCCAUCCAUGCGUUUAUGUGAAUGGUUCAUCCAUAU